AUAUUGAAAUAAUAAAUAGUUUUAAAAUAAUAAUUAUUAUUUUAAAUAAUAGGGAAGCAGGUGAGAAUCAUGCACGGUCCCGCCGCUGUAAUGGGGAACUUUUUCAAAAUAAGCCACUAGAUUUUAUUUCUGGCAAGGUUUAAAAAAGUAAUGAACCUAAGUCAGAACACCUGCCUAUAUUAAAUGCACUAUA
RNAcentral lists this non-coding RNA (193 nucleotides) under Clostridium tetani 12124569. The record is from RNAcentral. Lineage: Bacteria; Bacillati; Bacillota; Clostridia; Eubacteriales; Clostridiaceae.